CGCCCAAGCUGCUGGAAUCUUCCUCUCUCGAAUCCAGAAAGGCUCUCGCCCUCUCCACCCCGAGGAACCCACCCCUUUCGCUCCCGCAGCCUCCUCCUCCAUCCCAAAACAACACCGCUGCUCCCGGCAGAGCAGACAAAUGGAGAAACAAGCCCAGCGACAGCCGCUGAAUGAAUAAGACCCUCGCCGCGCCCCGCAUGGAACAGCAAUAUCAAAGGUGACGACUGUAUUUUUCAACACCUUUACUCUUUUAUGUGUGUCCUUGACUCUGGCAACUGGGUUGUCUGCCUCCUGGGGAGCCCCGGGGAGCGGAGGAGAGUGCUCCUGCUCCCCUCAGAGCUGAGUAAUGGUCCCCAUGCUGCUGGAGAAUGGCAAACAGUGUGGAGUGUGGGCGACAGGCGCCCUGUCACUGUCUGCACAGUCUCACACGGUCACACCCAACAGUCUGACCCAGCUCCUGCUCAGCCCCGCUCACCCUGACCCCUGCCGCCCCCACCUUGGGAGUGAGAUUUC
This 513-nucleotide long non-coding RNA is filed under the name Homo sapiens (human). RNAcentral's name for it is "non-protein coding lnc-TP53-1:1". Lineage: Eukaryota; Metazoa; Chordata; Mammalia; Primates; Hominidae. The record is from RNAcentral.